Molecule: small RNA, 107 nt
Filed under: Marmota monax (woodchuck)
Lineage: Eukaryota; Metazoa; Chordata; Mammalia; Rodentia; Sciuridae
Source: RNAcentral
GCCAGGCAUGGUGGUGCAUGCCUGCAACCCCAGCAUUUUGGGAGGCUGAGGCAGGAGGAUUGUGAGUUCAAAGUCAGCCUCAGCAACUUAGUGAAACCCUGUCUCAA